CCUACGGGAGGCAGCAGUGAGGAAUAUUGGUCAAUGGGCGCAAGCCUGAACCAGCCAUGCCGCGUGCAGGAUGACGGUCCUAUGGAUUGUAAACUGCUUUUGUCAGGGAAUAAACCCUUGGAUUUACUCCGAGGCUGAAGGUACCUGAAGAAUAAGCACCGGCUAACUCCGUGCCAGCAGCCGCGGUAAU
RNAcentral lists this ribosomal RNA (190 nucleotides) under uncultured bacterium. RNAcentral's name for it is "partial 16S ribosomal RNA". It matches the Rfam family "Bacterial small subunit ribosomal RNA", at positions 338 to 524 of the family's 1533-position model. The record is from RNAcentral.